Molecule: long non-coding RNA, 3384 nt
Filed under: Fragaria vesca (wild strawberry)
Lineage: Eukaryota; Viridiplantae; Streptophyta; Magnoliopsida; Rosales; Rosaceae
Description: long non-coding RNA (FVES_LNC001232)
Source: RNAcentral
UUAACUUUCAUUUUUUUUUUUGUUGUCUUAGCAAUUUGCUUCUGGAACUCCAACUUGUUAGGAAGGGUCAUAUGUAAUGAGCCCUUUAGGAAAUUCUGUAAUUGGAUGGAUGUCACUACCAGGACAAGCACUUUAGCCGACGAAAAAGUUUCGUCGGCAUGUUAGCUUAAUUCGUCGGCUAAGAUUUCGUCGGGAAAAGGUCGUCGGCGAUGACUUUAGCCGACAAAUUUUUUUUUUUCGUCGGCUAUAGUCUCACAGUUAGCCGACGAAAAACAUGUCAUCGGUUUUUUUCCCAGACUUUAGCCGACGAAACAAUUAAGAUAUUCAUCGGCUAAAGUGUGUAAUAAAUAAUUCAAAAAUAAUUAUAGCCGACGAAAUAUACUAUAUUUCGUCGGCUAAACCUUAUAAAAAUUUAAAAAAUAACUAUAGCCGACGAACUAAACCUUAUAAAAAAAAUUUAAAAAUAACUAUAGCCGACGAAUUAUGGCAAUUCGUCGGCUAAACCUUAUAAAAAAAAAUUAAAAAAUACUAUAGCCGACGAAUAUAGUAUUUAAAUUUCGUCGGCUAAAGUUGCUAGGUUUCGAAAAAAAAAACUGCAGAAACUUUCGGCUACCUCCAAUCACGACCAAAAUUUGACAGAAUCUUCCUCUCAACAUUUCGAACAACUUUCUAGAAGAAGUCGAAGCUCAAUUCUAAGCCUAAACAGGUCAAUCGACUCAAAAUAUAAAAAUCCCCAAUUUUAAACCCUAAAAACUUCAAAUCUUCGAUUCUCUUCACACACACCGAAUCGAGCUACAAAAUUCUAGAGGAAUGUAGUACUAAUCAAACUCAACUUACCCAUAUAUAGAACUCACCAAAUGGUGACCUAAAGAAGGAGAAAUUCGAUCGACACCGAAUCCGAACCGGCGGAGUUUUGGAGCUUGAUUUAUCCCUCACGGCGGUGUCACUCAAUGCAUCACCUAUCCAGCAAUGAAGUAGAGACGACGGCGAAGCUUUGGGACAAGUGUGGCGGUCUCCGGUGGCUUGACGGCGGAGCUAGGCCGAGAAGAAAAUCUGGCAGAUAUAGACUCUUACCAUCCAUCUUCGCCUAUAUAAAGAACUUUAGCCGACGAAAUUCUUUAUUUUCGUCGGCUAAACUCUUUUGAAAAUUUUGGUUGACCGUCAAAAAAUUUUGGUUGAAAAUUUUGAAAAUUUUUCGACUUUAGCCGACGACUUUUCAUAUAUUUUCGUCGGCUAAAGUCCUUUGAAAAUUUUCCUCCAACUUUGGUUUACCGCCCAAAAAAUUUUGUAAUUUUUUGACCUUAGCCGACGACUUUUUUAAUAUCUCGUCGGCUAAAGUCUAUAAAUUCACGAAAACGCUCAUAUCUCCCCCUAUAUUACGUAGUUUGGUCAAACCUUUCACACGAAAAACUCUCACGUAGAUGAGACGCAACUGCCUAUAUAAAAAUUUUGAGACAUUUACCUUCCGACGAUAGGGCUCCCCAUAGGGAAUAAUAACGGUAAAUAGGGUUGACCGCUACUAUUGGCACCGAGACUUUACCCGAUUUACGUGAUUUUUGAACCAUAGCCGUAUUUCACCAUUUUGAACACAUCUUAUUUCACGAGAUUUUUAAUAAUUUUGCUUCCUAUGUAGAGUUGGUUCACAAAGUUGUAUAACCUACUAAACAAGUUAAACAACAUUAGUAGACACGUGAUUCCAAUGACUAAAAUUCACAAACCAAAAUUCUACCGUCAGAUAUGAUCAUUAUGACGAAAGAUGUCUAUGGUAAAAAAUUCAACUGGAUCCGACAACGUUAAGGGCUCGAUCGAAACGGUCAACCAUAAUCCAUCGUCACUUAUCACACGAAAACGCUCAAAUCUCCCUCUAUAUUACCUAGUUUGGUCAAACAUUCCACAGAAAAAACUCUCACGUAGAUGAAACGCAACUGCCCAUAUAAAAAUUUUGAGACAUUUACCUUCUGAUGAUAGGGCUCCUCAUAGGGAAUAAUAACGGUAAAUAGUAGACACGUGAUUCCGAUGACUAAAAUUCACAAACCAAAAUUCGACCGUCAGAUAUGAUCAUUAUGACGAAAGAUGUCUAUGGUAAAAAAUUCAACUGGAUUCGACAACGUUAAGGGCUCGAUCGAAACGGUCAACUCUAAUCGGAAAUAAGAAAACUGCAUUUUGAAGCCCUAAACGGACUCGGAUGGCCAAAAAGGCCUAUACAUCAUGGCAUUGGCCAUGAGUUUGACUCGUAGCGCCGUUACGCUUCCGGAAAGGUAUCACAAUAGUCAAUCAGACACCAAAUGCCAAAUCUGCAGCAUAGUGAAUAAUAAGAGUAAAUUGCAUUGACCGCAACUAUCGGCACCGAGACUUUACCGGAAUACCGUGAUUUUUCAACCGUAGACGUAUUUCACCAUUCUGAUCAUAUCUUAUUUCACGAUAUUUUUGCGUUUGAAGGUUCUACGUAUAGUUUUCGUCGGCUAAACUUUUAAAAAUUUCGUCGGCUAAAGUUCACAGACUAUAGCCGACGAAAAAAAUUAUUCAGCCGACGAAAUAUUAAUUUCGUCGGCUAAAGUUGACCAUAGCCGACGAAAAUUUUAAAUUAGCCAACGAAGGAAAAUUUCGUCGGCUAAAGUUUUUUAUUUUCGUCAGCUAAAGCCUUUCUUCUGGUAGUGUGUGGUUCAAUGGAAAUGGUCGGGAAGCAAAACUAGUUGAAGGCUUCAAGCUCAAGUCUGGAGAGACGUAUCUCAAUUCUGGGGCCAAUUGUAAACAGCAAAGAUUUUUAACCUUUCUGUAUUUGACUUUGAAACUUUCUUUCUUAAUGAUUCUUGUAACGGGGGAACUAUCUUCGAUGUCAUGUUUCUGGAAAUUCUGCUUCCAUCCUGCUACAGAGAAUGCAAGAAGAUGGAGGCUAGAAUCUCUGGGUGUUUUUUGUGUAACUCUAUGUUCUGUCUCAAUGUUUUCCUGUGUGAGGAUUCUGAUUUGGUACAUUGGUAUCUUCUAGUAUGAUCUCGAAAGCAGUCCUGCCUAGUGUUAGGGCCCAUCCUUGGGUCAUGGUGUAUGAAACUUGAAUAUCAUGUGAUACAAUCUAAACAGAUGAUAAUGAUGUCUUUUGCCUCAUGGGUGCAUGCAUAUUGUCGUAGGUGGGAACGGGGCAGGGGCCAGUAUUGGUCAGUUGGUUCUUUGUUGGCCAAUUGCUUCCUGUCCAGUUGAAGUUGCUUAGUGCGUGGCUAAUUUGAUUCUGCUAUGCUGUGCUUACUUUCUAUUUUUAAUACAUGAAAUGAGUUUUGGUAUGUUAGGAAGACUAUGUAGUUCUGGAGUUCCAUGAUGCUAGUUGUGUUUUGGUUAAUCUGUGCUGUUGAACAUACUCUGUAUAUUACUAACUUAAUUAACGUACAGCAG